CAGCCAUGCCGCGUGUGUGAAGAAGGCCUUCGGGUUGUAAAGUACUUUCAGCGAGGAGGAAGGGAUUGGGGUUAAUAACCCUGUGGAUUGACGUUACUCGCAGAAGAAGCACCGGCUAACUCCGUGCCAGCAGCCGCGGUAAUACGGAGGGUGCAAGCGUUAAUCGGAAUUACUGGGCGUAAAGCGCACGCAGGCGGUCUGUCAAGU
This 207-nucleotide ribosomal RNA is filed under the name uncultured Enterobacter sp. RNAcentral describes it as "partial 16S ribosomal RNA". It matches the Rfam family "Bacterial small subunit ribosomal RNA", at positions 389 to 588 of the family's 1533-position model. Lineage: Bacteria; Pseudomonadati; Pseudomonadota; Gammaproteobacteria; Enterobacterales; Enterobacteriaceae. The record is from RNAcentral.